CGGAACGUAUCCCGUAGAGGGGGAUAGCUCGGCGAAAGCCGGAUUAAUACCGCAUAUGCUCUACGGAGGAAAGCAGGGGACCCUGAGGGCAACCGAGGGGCUUUGCGCUAUGGGAGCGGCCGAUGUCCGAUUAGCUUGUUGGUGAGUAAGGCUACCAAGGCGACGAUCGGUAGCUGGUCUGAGAGGAUGAUCAGCCACACUGGGACUGAGACACGGCCCAG
This 221-nucleotide ribosomal RNA is filed under the name uncultured bacterium. Its description in RNAcentral is "partial 16S ribosomal RNA". It matches the Rfam family "Bacterial small subunit ribosomal RNA", at positions 119 to 334 of the family's 1533-position model. The record is from RNAcentral.